AAAGUCGUAACAAGGUUUCCGUAGGUGAACCUGCGGAAGGAUCAUUACAAAUCUGGAGGUGGUGAGAGAGGGGGUUGGUGGGGGGUGUAGGGUUUAGGGGAGAGACUUGGAGAGUGGAAACUUUCCAGAGUGUCGCCUCUGCCUCCUCACGCCUCCUCCCCCGUCUUGCCACACAUUGGCACGGAGCCGCAAGGCUCUGAUGUUUACGCUUGUUUGUUUGACAGAGUUAUACAGUGACUAGAAUAAUGACAACUUUUAACAAUGGAUCUCUUGGCUCUU
Molecule: unclassified non-coding RNA, 279 nt
Filed under: Basidiomycota sp.
Lineage: Eukaryota; Fungi; Basidiomycota
Description: partial contains small subunit ribosomal RNA, internal transcribed spacer 1, and 5.8S ribosomal RNA
Rfam family: Eukaryotic small subunit ribosomal RNA (bases 1-47)
Source: RNAcentral